UUCCUACGGGGGGCAGCAGUGGGGAAUAUUGCACAAUGGGGGAAACCCUGAUGCAGCGAUGCCGCGUGGAGGAAGAAGGUUUUCGGAUUGUAAACUCCUUUUAUCAGGGACGAUAAUGACGGUACCUGAAGAAAAAGCUCCGGCUAACUACGUGCCAGCAGCCGCGGUAAUACGGAGGAUGCGAGCGUUAUCCGGAUUUAUUGGGUUUAAAGGGUGCGUAGGCGGACUGUUAAGUCAGCGGUAAAAGCCCGGGGCUCAACCCCGGCGAGCCGUUGAAACUGGCUGUCUUGAGAUGUCGAGAGGUA
Molecule: ribosomal RNA, 305 nt
Filed under: uncultured bacterium
Lineage: Bacteria
Description: bacterial SSU rRNA
Rfam family: Bacterial small subunit ribosomal RNA
Source: RNAcentral